This 253-nucleotide ribosomal RNA is filed under the name uncultured bacterium. RNAcentral describes it as "partial 16S ribosomal RNA". It matches the Rfam family "Bacterial small subunit ribosomal RNA", at positions 524 to 776 of the family's 1533-position model. The record is from RNAcentral.
UACGAAGGAUGCGAGCGUUAUCCGGAUUUAUUGGGUUUAAAGGGUGCGUAGGCGGCCUUAUAAGUCUGUGGUGAAAUCCUAUCGCUUAACGAUAGACGUGCCAUUGAUACUGUAGGGCUUGAGUACAGAUGCCGUUGGCGGAAUGUGUCAUGUAGCGGUGAAAUGCAUAGAUAUGACACAGAACACCGAUUGCGAAGGCAGCUGACGAAACUGUAACUGACGCUGAGGCACGAAAGCGUGGGGAUCAAACAGG